GAUGAACGCUGGCGGCGUGCCUAAUACAUGCAAGUCGAACGCUGGAAAUCUAGCUUGCUAGAUUGAAGGAGUGGCGAACGGGUGAGUAAUACAUAAGCAACCUACCCACGAAGACUGGGAUAAUCUCUGGAAACGGGGACUAAUACCGGAUAGGUAAUCGGAAGGCAUCUUCUGAUUAUUAAAGGUUAAAAACACUGGUGGAUGGGCUUAUGGCGCAUUAGUUAGUUGGUGAGGUAACGGCCCACCAAGACGAUGAUGCGUAGCCGGCCUGAGAGGGUGAACGGCCACAUGGGGACGGAGACAGGGCCCAGACGCCUACGGGAGGCAGCAGUAGGGAAUUGUCGGCAGUGGGGGAAACCCUGACCGAGCAACGCCGCGUGAGUGAUGACGGCCUUCGGGGUGUAAAGCUCUGUUGUAAGGGAAGAACGGUAGAUAGAGAAUAUCUAAAUGACGGUACCUUACCAGAAAGCCACGGCUAACUACGUG
RNAcentral lists this ribosomal RNA (486 nucleotides) under uncultured bacterium. RNAcentral's name for it is "partial 16S ribosomal RNA". It matches the Rfam family "Bacterial small subunit ribosomal RNA", at positions 28 to 507 of the family's 1533-position model. The record is from RNAcentral.